CAAACCCUUAUUCUCAAAUAGGUAUGUGCUUCUUCUUUCUCCUCAUUUUUUCUUGUCUUCCUACCCUAGCCACCACCGCUACUUCUGCAAACCCCAUGCCCCUCUCUCUUUCUAACACUCACACCUUCUCCUUCAUCUCUCCCUCUCACAAUUAAUUUAAGGUUUGUGAUUGGAUUAGAAGUAAAUUAAAAGAAAGGUAUGUAAUUCUCUCUUAAUUAUAAAUUAGUUAGUUAGAAUUUGUUUAAUUGUGAUAUAUAUGUAUGUUCAAAAUUAUGUGCUAUGUGAAACUUUGAGUUUGUGUGUUACGCAAAUUUAAUUUGUGCAGCUUUAGUCUAGAAAUCGUGGUGUAAAAUUUGUUAAAAUUUCAUAACCAUUUAUACGAAAUUAAUUAUGUUGA
Molecule: long non-coding RNA, 397 nt
Organism: Pyrus x bretschneideri (Chinese white pear)
Lineage: Eukaryota; Viridiplantae; Streptophyta; Magnoliopsida; Rosales; Rosaceae
Exons: 2
Source: RefSeq, a predicted model, not a curated record